UACGGAGGGUGCGAGCGUUGUUCGGAAUCACUGGGCGUAAAGGGCGCGUAGGCGGUCUUAUAAGUCAGAUGUGAAAGCCCACGGCUUAACUGUGGAAGAGCAUUUGAAACUGCAAGACUUGAGUACCAGAGGGGAAGGUGGAAUUCCCGGUGUAGAGGUGAAAUUCGUAGAUAUCGGGAGGAAUACCAACGGCGAAGGCAGCACUCUGGGCAGUUUCUGACACUGAGGCACGAAGGCUAGGGGAGCAAACGGGAUUAGAUACCCUGUAGU
This 270-nucleotide ribosomal RNA is filed under the name uncultured bacterium. RNAcentral describes it as "partial 16S ribosomal RNA". It matches the Rfam family "Bacterial small subunit ribosomal RNA", at positions 524 to 794 of the family's 1533-position model. The record is from RNAcentral.